Molecule: ribosomal RNA, 301 nt
Filed under: uncultured bacterium
Lineage: Bacteria
Description: partial 16S ribosomal RNA
Rfam family: Bacterial small subunit ribosomal RNA
Source: RNAcentral
CAGCCGCCGCGGUAAUACGUAGGUGGCAAGCGUUAUCCGGAAUUAUUGGGCGUAAAGCGCGCGUAGGCGGUUUCUUAAGUCUGAUGUGAAAGCCCACGGCUCAACCGUGGAGGGUCAUUGGAAACUGGGAAACUUGAGUGCAGAAGAGGAAAGUGGAAUUCCAUGUGUAGCGGUGAAAUGCGCAGAGAUAUGGAGGAACACCAGUGGCGAAGGCGACUUUCUGGUCUGUAACUGACGCUGAUGUGCGAAAGCGUGGGGAUCAAACAGGAUUAGAUACCCCGGUAGUCCCUGUCUCUUAUAC